CUCGCCUACACGAAGCUGGAAUCGCUAGUAAUCGCGGAUCAGCACGCCGCGGUGAAUACGUUCCCGGGCCUUGUACACACCGCCCGUCACACCAUGAGAGUCUGUAACACCCAAAGCCGGUGGGAUAACCUUUAUAGGAGUCAGCCGUCUAAGGUAGGACAGAUGAUUAGGGUGAAGUCGUAACAAGGUAAC
Molecule: ribosomal RNA, 192 nt
Filed under: uncultured bacterium
Lineage: Bacteria
Description: partial 16S ribosomal RNA
Rfam family: Bacterial small subunit ribosomal RNA
Source: RNAcentral